Non-coding RNA from Myotis lucifugus (little brown bat), 75 nucleotides. The record is from Rfam. NCBI's taxonomy places the organism in Eukaryota, Metazoa, Chordata, Mammalia, Chiroptera, Vespertilionidae.
GGCAAUUCUCAGGUGAGCCACCCCAGAAUCGGGCUCCCUCCUCUCUGGUUUCAGGUGCAUCACCAGAGAACUAGA